ACUGUACACAAGUCAGGUCACCUAAAUCUCAAGUAAUCUUUUCUUUUAUCCUUAAAUUUUCUUAUCCUUAAGAAAAGAUUACUUGAGAUUUAGGUGACCUGACUUGAUAAAAAU
This is a non-coding RNA of Xyrichtys novacula (pearly razorfish), 114 nucleotides long. NCBI's taxonomy places the organism in Eukaryota, Metazoa, Chordata, Actinopteri, Labriformes, Labridae. The record is from the annotation of a GenBank genome assembly.